This 182-nucleotide microRNA precursor is filed under the name Oryza brachyantha (malo sina). Its description in RNAcentral is "MIR812 microRNA precursor family". It matches the Rfam family "MIR812 microRNA precursor family". The record is from Rfam by way of RNAcentral. Lineage: Eukaryota; Viridiplantae; Streptophyta; Magnoliopsida; Poales; Poaceae.
AAUAACUCUAUCUUUUAGUUUUUUAAUACAAUGUUUUGACUCUUCAUUUUAUUUAAAUUUUUUUGCAAUUAAUAUUUUUAUUGAUACUAGAUGAUAAUACUAUUUUAUGCGUAACUAUUUUUUUUAAGUUUUUGUAUAAAAUUUUUAAAUAAGACGAAUGGUCAAACGUUGGACAUAGAAAA